RNAcentral lists this transfer RNA (72 nucleotides) under Marmota monax (woodchuck). It matches the Rfam family "tRNA". From Rfam's summary of the family: Transfer RNA (tRNA) molecules are approximately 80 nucleotides in length. Their secondary structure includes four short double-helical elements and three loops (D, anti-codon, and T loops). The record is from Rfam by way of RNAcentral. Lineage: Eukaryota; Metazoa; Chordata; Mammalia; Rodentia; Sciuridae.
UGGGUUGUAGCUAAGCGAUACAGCGCUUGUCUGGCAUGUGAGAGGCCCUGGGUUCGAUCCUCAGCACCACAU